CACGUAGGGACCAAGCGUUGUCCGGAUUUAUUGGGCGUAAAGAGCUCGUAGGCGGUUCGGUAAGUCGGGUGUGAAAGCUCCAGGCUCAACUUGGAGAGGCCACCCGAUACUGUCGUGACUUGAGUCCGGUAGGGGAGUGGGGAAUUCCUGGUGUAGCGGUGAAAUGCGCAGAUAUCAGGAGGAACACCGGUGGCGAAGGCGCCACUCUGGGCCGGUACUGACGCUGAGGAGCGAAAGCGUGGGUAGCAAACAGGAUUAGAAACCCCAGUAGUCC
Molecule: ribosomal RNA, 274 nt
Filed under: uncultured Rhodococcus sp.
Lineage: Bacteria; Bacillati; Actinomycetota; Actinomycetes; Mycobacteriales; Nocardiaceae
Description: partial 16S ribosomal RNA
Rfam family: Bacterial small subunit ribosomal RNA
Source: RNAcentral